AUACUCUGGUUUCUCUUCAGAUUGUAUAAAUCUUUUGCCUUUUACUAAAGAUUUCUGUGGAGAGGAACAAUUCUGAGUCUUAAUCCAAUUUUUUGAGGCAUUGCAUCUGUAAGGCU
RNAcentral lists this small nuclear RNA (116 nucleotides) under Carlito syrichta (Philippine tarsier). RNAcentral's name for it is "U5 spliceosomal RNA (ENSTSYG00000034619.1)". It matches the Rfam family "U5 spliceosomal RNA". From Rfam's summary of the family: U5 RNA is a component of both types of known spliceosome. The precise function of this molecule is unknown, though it is known that the 5' loop is required for splice site selection and p220 binding, and that both the 3' stem-loop and the Sm site are important for Sm protein binding and cap methylation. Lineage: Eukaryota; Metazoa; Chordata; Mammalia; Primates; Tarsiidae. The record is from Rfam by way of RNAcentral.